RNAcentral lists this ribosomal RNA (784 nucleotides) under uncultured fungus. Its description in RNAcentral is "eukaryotic LSU rRNA". It matches the Rfam family "Eukaryotic large subunit ribosomal RNA", at positions 24 to 664 of the family's 3401-position model. The record is from RNAcentral. Lineage: Eukaryota; Fungi.
CCCGCUGAACUUAAGCAUAUCAAUAAGCGGAGGAAAAGAAAAUAACAAUGAUUCCCUUAGUAACGGCGAGUGAAGGGGGAUAAGCUCAAAUUUUAAAUCUGGCUAGGUUAUACCUACUAGAGUUGUAUUUUGAAGAAGCGUUUUCCGCGUCUCGGUUGACCCAAGUCCUUUGGGAUAAGGCAUCAUGGAGGGUGAGAAUCCCGUUCGGUUGACCUUAUGACGUUUUACGAUACGCUUUCAAAGAGUCGAGUUGUUUGGGAUUGCAGCUCAAAAUGGGAGGUAAAUUUCUCCUAAGGCUAAAUAUUGGCGAGAGACCGAUAGCGAACAAGUACCGUGAGGGAAAGAUGAAAAGAACUUUGAAAAGAGAGUAAAAUAGUACGUGAAAUUGUUGAAAGGGAAACGAUUGAAGUCAGUCGUACCGACGUGAAAUCAACUCUUCGAGUGCGGGCUUGUGGGUUGCGGGUGUCUCGCUGUUUGCAACGUCUGUGCUUUUUGGGUGUACUUUUUCGUAUGGUAGGCCAACAUCAGUUUCGAUCAUUAUAAAAUGACCGGAGGAAUGUAGCUUCGAUUUCGGUUGAAGUGUUAUAGCCUUUGGUAGAUGUGGUGAUAGGGACUGAGGAUUGCAACGAAUACCCUUCGGGCUAUCCGUCUGACCUCUGAAAGUUGCUUAGGUGCCGAAAGCGUGCUUACGGUCAUUUAACGCAACGGUUAAAAGGUUAGAACGUGAUUACAUUCGUUAAGGAUGUUGGCGUAAUGGCUUUAAACGACCCGUCUUGAAACACGG